Molecule: long non-coding RNA, 7009 nt
Filed under: Marmota monax (woodchuck)
Lineage: Eukaryota; Metazoa; Chordata; Mammalia; Rodentia; Sciuridae
Source: RNAcentral
GACUUCACUAGUUCGCACCAACAGGCCAGUUGGCAGAAUGCUAAUGCAGUCUGCUCGGGGUGGAAGACAUUUUUUCCUUCCCUGCACCCCCUAAUAGUAAUGCUUAAUUUUAUUUUGACUCUGGAAGAAGUCUCCUUUCUGAGGUUCAAUUCAGCUCCAACCUAAUGCAAAUAUCUCAAGAUGCCUUUAAAAGGCUUCAACUAAAAGAGGUCACCUAAAGCCACGACAAGCAACCAGACUCUAUAUAAUCUCUUAUGUGAAAUUUCAAGGACAUCAAAUCUGCAAGGUAAGCUGACCUUCUAUAUAACACAUUGGCAUUCCAACUGAGGGCCAGAUACCUUCCUCAAGAAUAUUAGUGAUAACUGAUAACCACUCAGAAUCUUUUUUUUUUAAGAGAGAGAGAAUUUUUUAAUAUUUAUUUUUUAAUUUUCGGCGGGCACAACAUCUUUGUAUGUGGUGCUGAGGAUCGAACCCGGGCUGCACGCAUGCCAGGUGAGCGCGCUACCGCUUGAGCCACAUCCCCAGCCCACCACUCAGAAUCUUAAGGUCUUAUUUCUCAUGUUUACUGUUACUACCAGUACAGAGGUCAACAUAUAAAGUAUCAAAGUAAAAUUUAAUUACCACUACUAAUCAACGUAAGAUGACAGAGGGCCUUUUAAAAGGCAAUGUGCUUGCCAUCACAGCAAGCUUUAAUGAUUAAUGCUCAGAUGGAUUUUGAAAUUAAAAAAAAAAAUAGAAGGCCCUAUUCAUGCAAUUAAAAAAUAUGGUCUUCCGUAUUAGAUUACCAAAUUAUAUUUUAGUAUUUGUAAUUUUCCUUAGAAUUUUUCACUUCCUCUUGUAAUUACCACAUACUAGUAAGAGAAUAUUCUACGAGAAAAGUACGGCCUUCUGAUGUUCCAGUAUCAUAACUCAGUGCUAUGUCCACGCUGCACUUUGAUUCCAAAAGAGAGCAUUUAGAUUAACUGCUUCAGUGCCCUAUGGACACAAGAUUUAUGCCCAGAGAAAAAGCUCCCAUAUGACUCAACAGACACAGAGCUAAUGAAAUAAUCUGGUUCACUGGUUUAAGAUGGUUCCUCUAAAAGGGGUACAAUCACUGUUCCCAAAAGAGAGAAAAAUCACUAACAUUCUAUUCCUAGCACCCCUCAGUUGCUCUGUCAGUUACAAACAGCAUCUAAGAAGCACUGACAUCUUGCAACCACAAUGGAAAACCUUCUUUCUCCACCUAGUCCCACCCAAAAUGUCACAGAGAAUUUUUCAGAGAACACAUGGGCACAUAUGACAGUGAUUUUUUAAAAAGUUUUAUUAUACAAUGAUUUGCUUAUUCUGUAAGCCUUUGUUGAAUAUCUUACAUGUGGCAGAUGUAGGGGUAUAUACUACCCACAGAGAUGAAGGUGACACCACCAAUACAGCCUUUAAGAAUUUCACUCUAUUUUUAGGUAUUAGACAACUACAUGCCCUUAAAAAAAAAUGAGACAUGGACUGCUACCACUUUUCUGUAUUCAUCCAAUCAUUUUUAAAAAUUCAGUUUAGAUGACAUAUCCAUGGAAUUGUUAGAUUCCUUAAACUGUAAUAAAUAGGAGCAUUUAGGGAGCAGUUUAGAGAAAUGUUCAUGAAAUUAAGUCAUGUGUCUUCCUGCUACAGAAGCUAAUAAAGAUACAUGGAAAGUUUGAAUGCUGAAAGGUCAAUUAUAAAUGCUAAUACAGAUAAAAUAAUUCAAACACUGAUGGAACAAAUUGAGUAUUUUGUGAUGGUAACUGUACUAACCAUAAAAUUUUAGAACCAUAAAAGAUCUUAGUUACAUCUAAAAAUCUCACGUGACUAGUGAUGCCUAGAAAGGUUGUAUGAUUUGUGCAAAGUCACACAAGUGUAAAUUACCACUUUGGAACCCACACUAAGUUUAUUUUAUCCUGUUUGCCCACUGUCCUACUGAGUCUGGUUCACAUAUACAUGUACACACAUUACUGCAUCUGAUUCACACACGCACACAAGCAUUGUAUUUUUCAUCUGAUUCACACACACCAUAUUACUGUGUCUGAUUCAUAUACAGGCAUAUGCAUGUAUAUACUGUGGUUCAUACACACAACUUACAUGUAUGUAUCCUAUUGCUGUCUGACAUCCACAAAUAUACACUUUAUACUACUUUAAUUUUAUGCACAUUCAUAUUGGCAUAUAUACACACACCUCAAAAGUUAAUCUCUUUUUUCAAGUGAGAAAUUCAAAUGUGAACCACCACCCAGUAACUAUUUCAAAAUUAUAAUUUAUAUUAUGGGGCAAUUUAUCUGGACCCUCAUUUAAGAUCUAAGUCUUCCCAGGGACUGGAAAGGAGUAAGAUCCAUGAGGAUGCAGAAAUUUAGAGAGCUCACAGGCAUUCAUUCACAUGAAGUCUUUUGUUUUAUUGUCAAGGAUAAGAACAUCAGUGACAUUUGUGUUGUGAUGUUUUCCAUACCAUGGAGUAGGAGAAAAGACUUGCACAGAAACUGAGAAUAAUAUUCUAUGCCCUUGCUCUAGGACAAAUUUCCAGUCUCUGACCCCAUAACACAGUGCAGGAGUGAUGUGGGGGAAGUGCAUCCACAACAUGGCUGGGGACUCUGGCUAGAGAGUGUGACCUGAAGGGAUAGUCUUCCUUCUGCUCAAGGGCUGACAAUAUGGAGAGCUCUGAAAGAUCUCUCUUGAUGUAGGAUUCUUAGAGGAGUUAAAGGAGCAAUGAUGAUGCCCUCUGGGGUUUGGAUGAGGAGGGAUAAAGCAAAUGGGAGGCAGAAGCAAUAAUCAGCUGAUGCAGAGGACUUACCUAAGAGGUCCCUGGGAACCCAAACUUAAAAGGAGUAGGGGAGACUCGACAGGGGUUAGAGGUCCUGCAGGUACAGGUAGUGCAUAAACACAGAACAUGUCACUGUGGGUGUUUAGUAAGGCCUGGAGACCUGCAGGCAAUACUGAAUAUGAAGAAGGAAUGCAGAACCCAAAGACUAGUUUCAGAUUGUACUGUUAUUCUCGCAGUCACUGAAGCAGAUGGUGAAUAUUUUGAACAUUUGCUUUCUUAAGCUACUUGCUCUAUUAGUCUAGCCUACUUUUCUUCAGGCAUAAAUAAUUCCCCUUUACUAUCAAAUACAGCCAUUACUAAUUCGUACAUACAUUAUAUUGAAAGAUCCUCUAUCAUCAAACUAUGAAGCUUACUUUUAUGAUCUUUCCAGAUAUAAUUCUCAUAGUAAUAAUGAAGAAAACACCAAGAAUAACACUCAGGAUGUGAUAUGUUAAGCACACACCUCUCUGUGGGCUUUACUUAUUUUAAAAAUCACAGACAGCUAUCCUUACUGGACAAAGUCCUCCCUAAGUGGAUGGCUAUCAUUCUGGCCUUGGAAGACAGCUAUAAAGGUUACUAGUCAACUUUUUAAAAAUGAAGCAUUAUUUCUCAAAAGGAAAUGUACAGUUUUAAGCAAAUAAACCGUAGGUACUUUGAAGACCAUUUUAAAUACCUCAACCACAGCCCAAGAUAAAUGUCUGCAAAGGAUCAAAAAGAUCAGGGCCCUGGGCAAGGUUUAAGAGGCAGGGUAGUUGGGGAGAUAAAUAGCAAACUGCUUUCCAAAAACUGGAAUGAGAGCUCUCCUACCAAGGAAUAUAAGGAAACCUUCAAAGUUUAGCAGGUCAAGUACAAACUAAUAAUCAAAGCUGGCAAGAAAGAAUCUAAGUAACCUUGCAGAGCACUCCAAAAACAAUUAAAAAAAUGUUACUAAACAAGAUAAAAUCUCUAAAAAUAAGCAUUGUCUGCAAAGAAUGUAAGAUGAAAAAGAUUGUGUAUAAAACUGAACAACAGUUCCCUUGGUCUUUAUGAAGGAUCAAGAAUACGGCAAAUACCAAUUUUUUUUUUUUUUGUAACAGGUUGGAGAAACUAAAUUAAAUGGUGAUUAACUUAAGGGAGAAUCAACUGAACUGUCAAACAAGAUAUACAAAAGCACAAAUCCAACUGGCAUUAUCAGGGUUAAAAAGUCAAGGUGGAAUCUUUAACUGUGGAGGCAAAAAUGUAAAAUGUGAAUUAUGACCAGCCACUCUACAGCAGGGCAGAUGCUGACAGGGGACCUAACUACAGAAUGUUCAAACCCAGCACUUUCUGAGUAUUGAGGGAAGGGAAAUAUAAUCAGGAAUUAAUAAAAAGAUGUGGCUGAACACUUUUCUACCUGAUGACCAUCAACAAACUGUGGGGUCAAAUAAUGGUACAGCAGCAGUAGUUACCCCUGAUCAAAGUUUUACAUUUUUAGUACCCAAACAAUCAGCUCAAAAGGUAGAGCUUAAUGCAGUUUUACAAGCUUUUGUGAUGUUUAAAGAUUCUGUAUUUAAUUUAUUUUCUGAUAGUCAGUAUGUAGUUAAUGCUAUAGUAUCUCUUGAAGAUGCUGGUAGGAUUUCCCCUUCUUCUACUGUUUUCUCUUUGCUUUCCCAGAUUAGACUUUGUAUAGUGGAAAGCAAAGAGAAAACAGUAGAAGAAGGGGAAAUCCUACCAGCAUCUUCAAGAGAUACUAUAGCAUUAACUACAUACUGACUAUCAGAAAAUAAAUUAAAUACAGAAUCUUUAAACAUCACAAAAGCUUGUAAAACUGCAUUAAGCUCUACCUUUUGAGCUGAUUGUUUGGGUACUAAAAAUGUAAAAGUUUGAUCAGGGGUAACUACUGCUGCUGUACCAUUAUUUGACCCAUCAGUGAAUAUAUUUGGAGCAUUCAUGAUAGGUGUUUUUCUUGUCAUUUUUGGAAAAAUUACAGGAUGCAAUGACCAAAAAGACAAUAAAGGAUUAGAUGGUAAGUGGUUAUCAAAUGAAACAUUAGAUUUGCACAUGAUUAUUGCCCAAGUAUUUAACUCAUUAGCUAACUCAUCAAUUUGAUUCAUAGUAUAUGGAGUAAUAAUUUUAUUGGGAGAAAUUCCAAACACUCCCUUUGCUGCUUUUAUUCCUUUGAGUAUUAAUUGUCCUACAGCCUCAGGAUACCUAGUAAGAAUAGUGUUAGGAGAAUAAGAUAAAUGUAUCCAUAAUAAUGGACCUUCUUGCCAAAAUACUCCUGUAGGAAUAUUUUUUGUUGGUAGUACAAUAAAUAAUAAAGGCAAACUUAUAUCAAUUCUAUCCAAAUGCAUAUUUUCCAUAUAUGUUUCAAUGAUUUUUAAUGCCUUUCUUGCUUCAGGCGUUAACAUUCGGGGUGAAUUUGGAUCUGAUGGACCUUUUAGGAUAUCAAAUAAAGGUCCCAACUCUCCUGUUGGUAUACCUAAAUAAGGCCUUAUCCAAUUUAUGUCUCCUAAUAACUUUUGAAAGUCAUUAAGUGAUUUGAGUUGAUCUACUCGUAUUUGAAUUUUUGGUGGACGGACCAUGGUUGAGGAUAAUAGAACUCCUAAAUAAUUAAUUGGAAAAUUUAAUUGUACUUUAUCUAUUGCUAUCUCUAGAUUAUAAUUUUUUAAUAAGUUUGUAAGUGUGGCAUAACAUUCUAGCAAUGUGUUUUUAUCUUUGUGUGCUAAUAAUACAUCAUCCAUAUAGUGAAAUAUUUGUAGUUCAGGAUUUUGAUUUCUAAGUGGCUGGAUUACUUUGUUAACAUAAAUUUGACACAUAGUUGGGCUGUUAGCCAUCCCUUGAGGGAGUACUUUCCAUUCAUAUCUCUGAUCAGGACCUUCAUGAUUCAGUGCAGGGAUAGUAAAUGCAAAACGUGGACUAUCCUCAGGAUGAAUUGGAAUUGAAAAAAAACAAUCUUUAAUAUCUAUAACUAAAACAUACCAGGUUUUUGGCAAAGCAGACAACUGAGGAAUCCCUGAUUGAGCAGGUCCCAUAAUAACCAUCUCAUUAUUAAUGGCUCUUAAAUCUUGCAAUAAUCUCCAUUUACCAGAUUUCUUUUUGAUGACAAAAAUGGGAGUAUUAUGGGGAGAUACAGAAGGUUGUAUAUGUCCUUCUGCUAAUUGUUGUUUGACCAGGUCAUGGGCUGCUUGUAUCUUUUCUUUAGUCAGGGGCCACUGAGGAACCCAUACUGGUCUUUCUGAUUUCCAAGUAAUUUUUAUUGUCUCAGUGGCCCUUUCUGAAAAUCCAACCCAUGUCUGUCUGUUCCUUGAUCUAUUUGUAUUGGUGCUGCUAUACCUUGUUCUUGUUUUUCUAAUCUUUUUCCUUUCCUAAAACCUUGUCUAGUCAUAAUAGUGGGUGCAUUUUGGUUGAUGUUAUUUGUUAAUGUCAAACCUAAUUGAUCUAGGACAUCUCGUCCCCAUAAAUUUACGGGAAGAUGAUCCAAUACAUAUGGCUGUAUAGUUCCUUCACAUCCUUCAGGAUCCUUCCAAUCUAAUACCAUUGCACUUCUAUGGGGAUUAGUCGCCACUCCUAGGCCUCGAAGCGUUUGAGUGGCUUGUUGUAAUGGCCAAUGUUUUGGCCAUUCUUGACGAGAGAUGAUGCUAAGGUCUGCACCUGUAUCCAGUAGCCCAUUAAAUUCAUGUCCUUGAAUAUUUAGUUUUAGCAUGGGGCGAGAAUCUAAAUUUAAAGAAAGCAUAGCCCAAUCUACACCUGUGGAGCCUAAUCCCUUGGAACCUCUUUCUACAGUACGACUGGAAAAUUUAUCAUGUAGGCUGGGUAUUAUUAGUAACUGUGCUAUUCUAUCUCCUGGUGAAAUUACUGAUAUACCCUUUGGAGAACUGGCUAUAAUUUUUAUUUCACCUUCAUAAUCGGGAUCAAUUACCCCAGGACUUAUCAUAAGUCCUUUUAGAGUAGAAGAGCUGCGUCCCAAUAAUAAGCCUACUGUUCCUUUGGGAAGAGGUCCUUUCACCCCUGUGGGAAUGAUUUGAACUCCCAUCUCUGGAGUUAGUACUGCUCUGGCGGAGGCGCAGAUGUCCAACCCUGCGCUCCCUCUGGUUUGUCUGAUGAGGGAUCUGAUGGACAAUGUGUCCUGGGCACUACCCUGAUGGGGUUGCUGGGUUCCUCCAGUGCUCCGUAUAUUUGUGGUUUUGGGCCCCGGAGCAUUGGGCCCCCCUGUCCAUUUUUUGGCAAUGGAGCCCGAUGCCUUUCUCCACG